GGGGCCUUAGCUCAGCUGGGAGAGCGCCUGCUUUGCACGCAGGAGGUCAAGGGUUCGAUCCCCCUAGGCUCCA
RNAcentral lists this transfer RNA (73 nucleotides) under Sporolactobacillus sp. THM7-7. RNAcentral's name for it is "tRNA-Ala". It matches the Rfam family "tRNA". Rfam says of the family: Transfer RNA (tRNA) molecules are approximately 80 nucleotides in length. Their secondary structure includes four short double-helical elements and three loops (D, anti-codon, and T loops). Lineage: Bacteria; Bacillati; Bacillota; Bacilli; Caryophanales; Sporolactobacillaceae. The record is from RNAcentral.